GGAACAUAUUGUUUUUCAUAACUGUUUCUUUAAGCAAUAACCUCAGUGCAUAAUAUGUUUGCGCCAUUUUGUCCCAGACGAAUUACAAUAACAAUAAUGCAUAAACAAGCUUCAAGGCUAUGCUACGUCUCUUGCAGUACACAAUAUACUGUGGUAACCCCAAGUUAAUGGAACUUCCCCAAAUCCUGGAAUCUCCCGCGACUGUACACUUACGACUUAGUAUAAACAACAGAUAACCUAUUCAGACUUUAAGAUGACAUCUUGAACUAAGUCAGGAAAAUUUCCAUGACGUAUACACACUUUAGUUAUGGCCUUGUAUGUUUGCCAAAUUAAG
Molecule: long non-coding RNA, 334 nt
Filed under: Pelobates cultripes (western spadefoot toad)
Lineage: Eukaryota; Metazoa; Chordata; Amphibia; Anura; Pelobatidae
Source: RNAcentral